Molecule: ribosomal RNA, 244 nt
Filed under: uncultured Staphylococcus sp.
Lineage: Bacteria; Bacillati; Bacillota; Bacilli; Caryophanales; Staphylococcaceae
Description: partial 16S ribosomal RNA
Rfam family: Bacterial small subunit ribosomal RNA
Source: RNAcentral
CGGCGGACGGGUGAGUAACACGUGGAUAACCUACCUAUAAGACUGGGAUAACUUCGGGAAACCGUAGCUAAUACCGGAUAAUAUAUUGAACCGCAUGGUUCAAUAGUGAAAGACGGUUUUGCUGUCACUUAUAGAUGGAUCCGCGCCGCAUUAGCUAGUUGGUAAGGUAACGGCUUACCAAGGCAACGAUGCGUAGCCGACCUGAGAGGGUGAUCGGCCACACUGGGACUGAGACACGGUCCAG